UUAUCAUACUAGCAUAUCAAUACCGGAAAGCUGACUUUCAUCGAUCAAAAAUAUUUUUUAUGAGUUAUUAAAGAUUAAAUGGGUAUAAUCCUGCAUGCGGUUGUAGUUCUGUGACUGCUAUUAAAGUAUUCUCAGUUUUGGCGUUAUUCAAUAUAUUCUCUAGAUCAUAUCAGUAGUCAAACCUACCGAUUGGAUCUUUCCAUGUCUUGAUUUGGACAAUGGUUGUUUUAUUUCGUUGGACACUUAAAUUCGUGGAUAAAGUCAUCCACGAAAACCACGAAAAUUGGUACCCCACGAAUAAAAGUACUUUCACAGUACAUUUAUAACCA
Molecule: long non-coding RNA, 329 nt
Filed under: Mytilus galloprovincialis (Mediterranean mussel)
Lineage: Eukaryota; Metazoa; Mollusca; Bivalvia; Mytilida; Mytilidae
Source: RNAcentral